GACGAACGCUGGCGGCGCGCUUAACACAUGCAAGUCGAACGGAAAGGCCUGCUUUCCCUUGUGGAUUGCGGGUACUCGAGUGUCGAACGGGUGAGUAACACGUGAGUGAUCUGCCCCCAACUUGGGUAUAAGCCUGGGAAACUGGGUCUAAUUCCCGAUAGGACUGCAGGGUGGUGCCUGUGGGUGAAAACGAUUUUCUAGUGGUUGGGGAUGAGCUCGCGGCCUAUCAGCUUGUUGGUGGGGUAAUGGCCUACCAAGGCGGCGACGGGUAGCCGGCCUGAGAGAGCGGGCCGGCAAGGUGGGCCUGCGAUACGGGCAAGACUACUAGGGGCGGAAGCAGUGGGGAAGAAUGAGUGAUGAGCGGAAGACUGAGGCAGCAAGGCUGAGUCGGGGAUGCCGGGCUUCGGGUUGUAAACUCCUUUCGACAGCGAGGAAGCAACCUGGAUGGAAGGGUGGUGACGGUAGUGGUAGAAGAAGCACCGGCUAACUACGUG
This 494-nucleotide ribosomal RNA is filed under the name uncultured bacterium. Its description in RNAcentral is "partial 16S ribosomal RNA". It matches the Rfam family "Bacterial small subunit ribosomal RNA", at positions 28 to 507 of the family's 1533-position model. The record is from RNAcentral.